GCCAUGUCUUUGUUUUUCAGAAAAAUACUUUUCAAAAAAAAAAAGUGUUUAUUGGCUGCUUCUAACUCUCUUUAUUAACAGUGAAAAAAAAUUCAAUAGGAAGUCACAGAACUUAGUGCUUCUCUCUCUGUGCCAAUUCUGUCAGACCACACAGAAGCAAAAGCUAGAUGAUUUGGCAGAGCUAUCAGACUUGAAGAGAGGUUUGGCAAUGGAAUGAAGGGAAGGAAAGCUGACUGUGUUUUCAGCCAGGACAGAGGAGUGGUUACAGGCAGUGUUAGUGAACUGUCUACAGACUGCACCGUGAACAGUUGAAUAGGAAAUUUUACUCAGGGAGGGAGGAGAGAAUAUACUAAUGUAUUUGAUAUUGGGAUAAAAUGGAAGUUGGCAUUUUAGGGCAUUAUUGAGACUACAGAGGUGGCUUGUGGAUGGAGAUGGGAUAAUACAGGAGUUUCACUCUUGUUGCCCAGGCUGGAGUGUAGUGGCGUGAUCUCGGCCCACUGCAACCUCUGCCUCCCAGGUUCAAGUGGUUCUCCUGCCUCAGCCUCCCCAGUAGCUGGGAUGACAGAGUUUCCAAUUGUCAGAAAAAUUUACUCCUGUAAAAUCCCACUGAUGGUGUCCACAGAACAUAGCGGUAUGUGAAUAGAUGUUAAUAUUUUUUAAAAAUUUGACAUUUUCUUGUGUAAAAUUUGUAAGACAUUUAUACGUAUAUAAUAAAGCCUAUUAUUGAAACAUAUUUGGAAAUGAAUUAGGAAUAUCUGCCAUCCCCUUAUCUUGGGUUUCUAGAUUGUGAGCUUUAUAGAAUACAAUUAAACAUUGAUAGUCCAUUCUCACAGAGCUUACUUACCAUCUGGUAUUCUAGAAACUCAGAGUAAAUUAUUUUUCCCACUAACGUGGGUGAAGUAGUUGAUAUGCUUGUUCACACACCAACACAUACACAUAUAUUGUUAAUGAAAUGUACAAAAGUGCUAUUUUAAUAGAGAGACUCAAAAUAUUACAUAUUCAUGGGACCUGGGGACAAAAUUAUGUCUUGGAAAUUUUCUGGAAAAUCACAUAAGCUCCAGAGAAGUUGAUAUAAAGACAGCUAAAGAUCUUUCCAAAGAAUGAUCUUGGUUUGAUAGUGGCGAUUCUACCAAUAC
RNAcentral lists this long non-coding RNA (1136 nucleotides) under Callithrix jacchus (white-tufted-ear marmoset). RNAcentral describes it as "lncRNA (ENSCJAG00000069809.1)". The record is from RNAcentral. Lineage: Eukaryota; Metazoa; Chordata; Mammalia; Primates; Cebidae.